Non-coding RNA from Schizosaccharomyces pombe (fission yeast), 2540 nucleotides. The record is from the annotation of a GenBank genome assembly. Lineage: Eukaryota; Fungi; Ascomycota; Schizosaccharomycetes; Schizosaccharomycetales; Schizosaccharomycetaceae.
UGUCAUACCGAAGUCGAAAUAUUGAUUUCCUUUGUACUUUUAAAUCCUUAGGACGAUACUUUUGGAACGGAUCUCUUACAUUCUUUUUUUCUUUUGACGCUAAAAAUUCACCAUAUUAGCUAUCACACUAGCAAUUUCUUCUGACUUACCACUUGGACCAAGAAUGGUAGAAUAGGUCAAAGGAAGGACACAGCAGGAAGUCCCCACCAGCAAAAAGACAGGGAAAAAAAUACCCUGCUCGUCGUACUUGUACUCAGACGACAUUGCAAGUUGUUUGGUAAAGGCAGGGUUCACUAGGACAAACAAAGAUCAUAUAACGUAAUUUGUAGAGUCUCCUUAAGCAAUAUACUAGGCUGCUAAAAUGAAAUAUUACGGGUUUUACCAAAAUAUAUUUGAGAUUUUUUAUUUUUACAUGAAUUCAAUUAUCAGGAUGUUCAAUUUUUAAGAAAUCUUUAACAAACCGCUCUGUUAAAUGAUAUGUAUUAUCAACACAAAUCAGAACACCCUUUAUAAACUAAAGUACACAAGAAGAAAAGUCUAUAAACAAUAAAUAAUUACACUAUAUAAAAACAGUUGAGGUGUAACUUAAGAGACGCGAUAUCUGGUUUUUUUAAAAAAAAUUUAAAAACUUAAAUUCGCUUUGUGUCAAUGAUAAUUUUACCAAUCUCACCAGCUUUUAAAGGUCUUUUUUUGGCUGUAUCCGACUAAAACAUAAACAUAUAUAUUUGGGCAUCCUAAAUAUUGACGCACAGGUAUAGACAGUUACAAAGAACUUUAUAGAGAAUAAAAUUUCCUUCAUAAAAUAACAUAGUGCCAACAAUCCUUGGAGGAACAAAAAAAGAUAAAACACCGUUUUUUAACAAGUCUGAGGAAGGUGAACGCAAGUUUGUUCAAGAUAAUAGCAUCCAGAUAAAGUGGCUACAUGCUCAUUGUCGAUAAAAACCUCGGCUGUUAUAUGCUGCAACCAGACAAAGACGAAAGGGAGACCAGCCCAGAUUGAAACGAUAUCUUUAGCCCACUUGGGGAAAAUUUUUAGAACAUCAGUUAUACUAUCCAACUCUUCUAAUUCAGCAGAAAGUUCUACACGAACUGGUUUCCCAUCAAAAGUUUGUCCAGACAAAAUCCGAUGAAUCUGCUCGGGUAAUAAAUAACGAAUCCCAUCAACUUGAGCCGCUCCCUUAGUAGAAUAUUCAUUGUCAAGCAAAACAGCGAUCAACUUCCCGUCCAAAGUUAGACUCGCUUGAGACCGAAAAGGUUGUGAAGGGUCACGAGGAAAAUAGUGAAGGCAGGUCAGUAUGCUUUUUUUAGAUUUAUCAAACAAAAUACUAUUUUGCCAAGUAUGCCCAAGGUUGGUAAAUUUCUCUCGAAAAAACAAUGCACCAACAUAAACAGCUACACCAGUUAGCUUUUUCUCCCUACCAUGCGCAGUAACAGUGCCUUCUACAGUGUUAAUGGGAAAUAUUUUAUGUUCCAUCCUGCUCGAAGAAUCAUUUUGGCCAAAAUCAACAAGGGAGAAACCACUGUCCUCGGUUUUGAUUUUUAGAUCGUAAACACCUUCGAUAACUAUAUGCCAUUCUCGGGUAGAAGAAUUAAAAUGCAUAAAAUGCUUUUGAACAUCAACACUAUAUCGAUCUUUGGAGAUCUUCAUGCUCCUGUAUAAAUAAGUAGAGCUGUUUACAAUUGGCUCUACAUUUUUUUCCGUCUUUGCUGGAUAAUAAGUCCACCCCAAUGGUGUAACUUUUACCAGUAAACCAAGAUUUCCGUAAGCAAUUUGAAGAUAGCCAAAUGAACCAUCAUCAAAGCACAUGUAAAACGAUUUAUAUUGAGUUGUUAAAUGCGAUCUCGACAAAUCCCAGGUUAGGUCUUUGCAAGAAAUAAGAUCAUAUUUUUCAGCACGACUGCUAUAUGAACUAGACAUAACGUUUUAAAAAUAAAAAUAAAAAAAGGAAAGCUUAAAAAAAAUAGAUUGAGGUAACGUUUUAGUCAACAGCAAAGGCCUGAUCGAAUAAUUUCAAACCUUACACCUAUGUAUAUAUAUCCUUUUUAUGACGGUUAUUUGCAAUGAACCGAAUGAAUUAAAGCUCCUAAAAUAAAAAAAUGGUUGAUAUGAGAAAAGAAAUCAAAACAGUUUGUACAUCCAAAUAUAGCAAAAUUUAGAGAAAUACGAAAUUAGACAACUUUAAACCUUGCAUAGCUGGACGGAUCACACCUAUUUAUGAGAUUUUUUGUUUAGCGAACGACUUUAAAAUUGAAAAUCACCUUAUAAGUUGAUUUCAAUUCACUGCGCCUUGGUGGUGGGUUGAUUGAUCUGUUUGUUCCAAAACUUUCGAAACAACAUGCGUUUUCUCCAGUAUGAUCAAAAUUGACCAAAUCAAUAUGUAGAAUAUACGUAGGUCAGACAAAAUUUGCCGAGGCUUUCUACUCAACGAAAUACUGUCUAAAUAAACAUUUUUUAUAUAAUUUGUCAAUAAACUAUAAUAGAGUUAUAUCAAACUGGAUAUUCUUCUAUAGAGUCAUAUAUUAUCUGAAUAAGAUACGAU